RNAcentral lists this ribosomal RNA (404 nucleotides) under uncultured bacterium. Its description in RNAcentral is "partial 16S ribosomal RNA". It matches the Rfam family "Bacterial small subunit ribosomal RNA", at positions 30 to 526 of the family's 1533-position model. The record is from RNAcentral.
AUUGAACGCUGGCGGCAGGCCUAACACAUGCAAGUCGAGCGAGCGGCGGACGGGUGAGUAAUGUCUGGGAAGCGCCCAGUCGGGGGGGAUAACAGUUGAAAACGACUGCUAAUACCGCAUACUAGUGGAUCGCCCAGGUGGGUUUAGCUAGUUGGUGAGGUAAUGGCUCACCAAGGCGACGAUCCCUAGCUGGUCUGAGAGGAUGAUCAGCCACACUGGAACUGAGACACGGGCCAGACUCCUACGGGAGGCAGCAGUGGGGAAUAUUGCACAAUGGGCGAAACCCUGAUGCAGCCAUGCCGCGUGUGUGAAGAAGGCCUUCGGGUUGUAAAGCACUUUCAGCGAGGAGGCGUUACUCGCAGAAGAAGCACCGGCUAACUCCGUGCCAGCAGCCGCGGUAAUUC